Long non-coding RNA from Acinonyx jubatus (cheetah), 21331 nucleotides. RefSeq lists it as uncharacterized. The transcript is spliced from 3 exons. The record is from RefSeq and is a predicted model, not a curated record. NCBI's taxonomy places the organism in Eukaryota, Metazoa, Chordata, Mammalia, Carnivora, Felidae.
CUUGAGACUCGGAGUCCUAGCGAUGGAGCAUCAAAGAGAAGGUAAAUCCGAUCCUCCUUGGCCGGCAAUGAAUCUUCCCAUCAGCAAACUUUAUCUGGUUGGUACCUGGGGUGCAGUGAUGGCCUCGAGCUGAAGGUAGCCCUCCUUUCUGUGUCCCCUGCUAUCCUCUGUGCCCUGUCUGUGCAUCCAGCAAAUGGCAGCGGAAGAGAUCUGGGGAAAUGGGAGGCAGGAGAGAGGCCUGAUCCCGGGACCUGGGCCACGGGGAAGGAGGGAAGGAGCUGGUGGCCCAGAGGCUGUGCCCUGUUCAGCUGCAGUGGCUGGGGAACGCGAACCUAACCAGGGCUGAUCUCUGAGACAUGGGACUUGAGCUGGUGUUGGGGAACAAUUUGCUGUGAGAGCCUAAUAUUUGUGUUUUCACUCUGGAUGGCCAAGACAAAAUCCCCGCUCGCUGAGCCCCUGGGAGUCUGGCCGAUUGAGGCACAGCAGUGAUGCUGGGUUCAGAUCCGUGCAGUAUCACCCGCCAGCACCAGCCACACCAGGGCUCCGUCCUCAGUUACACAUGGAAGGCAUUGUUGGGGUGUGUUUGGUGAGAGGCUGGCUUUGUAAGGGGUCUGCGGGUGAGCAUCUGUCCCGAGAGAAGAAAGUCUGGCCAGGUGAUACUCCUUAGAGCUCAGCUUACUUUAGUCGAGGACAUUAUCGUGGAAAAACGGAGCUUCUAGGCUACUCUGGAUUCAGAUGACUGUUUUUGCGUGUCUGGUUUUUUUGGGACGAUGCAGCUUUUUUUGUAAUGAAGUUUUACAAAUUUAAAAAGAAAACCUACAAGGUGCAGCCGGCUUGGAAAUAAGCAGCGUGUUUGAGCGAAGUUGCUGGCAGUUUGGUUUGUUUUGGAGUGACUCCUUUUUUGCACGGACCGUUGGGGCCAUUCGUUCAUUCCUCAAGAGUGUCUCCACGGUGCCUGAUCACCCCUGGGGUGCCAAGAGGAACGGGUCCCCAACCCUGCUGGUCGAUGAACUGCAGGACACCCCGUAUCCCCAGGUGUCAGGGUUAUAAGGCCUGGGUCCUGGAAAGGUGGUCCUUGGCUGUCCUGCUCCCUUGACUGAUUUCAUCCCCUGUGGACCAUGCAGGGUUGUAGCACAGCAUUCUAAUGACCAGAACAGUGGGGAAACCCCAGCCUUCAGGGGACCUACCUUCUAGCAGGGAGAUGGAGAGCGAAGGUAUGGAAUACAUCCAUGACGUAUUGCCCGUGCCCAGGGCCGUGGAGCAGACAGAACAGGACCUCAGCGCACAGCCCCACUGAGUCAUCAGAAGGGCUGACCAGAGUGAGGCGGGAGGGGUGGUAAAGACAGUGGGAGGGGUGUGUGGAAGGCACAGUUCUGGUGAGAGGUGGGGAGGGAAAGGAGAGAAGAUACUGGCCCGAGGGUGUGGGGUAAGGAAGAGGGCAGACCGAACCUGGGCCCUGGAAUUUUGGGGCAGGGCCCGUGGGGUCGUGGUGGCCUUGGUUGAGAAGGGGCCACCUAUGGGCGAGGUGUCAGCAGAGGAACCUGAGUGGGGGAGGGGCAGGGAGCGGCGCAGGGAGGGCCUUCUGGGUCCAUUGGACCCUGGAAGUCCGGCAGGCUGGUGUCACCUGGGGCUGGCCCUUAGAGAGGCAGCCCUUGCACCCUGCCGCCUGGCUGGGCCCACGGGUUUAUUAAAGGCAGGUGCGGUCACUACUAUCCUGUUCUUGAGCGUUGGGCGUGACUCAGACAUUCAGGGAGUCAGUCUGGAGUUCCUUUAUUCAUCCCUAUUUGCUUUUUGUCGGUAAUCCUUUGUAAUUCCCCAGUUUCAUGAUGUAAUUUUAAUGGAAUUAAACUUGAACACUUCGAAAUUAUGUAAUUAAUUACGUUCGGCUUCAAUUACAAUGACUAAUUAUAGCGUGAUACCUGGUGGCAAGUCAGGCAGGUACUGGUGGGGGUUCAUGCCUGCUGGCUAUUGGGAGGGCCACUUUCCGUUCAGCAUGGGAGCCACGGUGCCCCAGGGACAGGUCGCCUGCCCCUGGGUUGCCCAGGGCGCCUUCCAAUCCCCCUCUGCUGAGGUGCGAGGUGCGGGGUGUGAGACGCGUGGGAAGUGCGGGUGUGGGAGGGUUGUUUGGGGAUGCAAAGGCUCGAACUUGUUUCCAGGUUGAAGGGAAGGACUCUUCUUUGUAAGUUUGGGGUGCCAGGGGAAGCGGAGGGCCCUGUUGUGACAUUCUUCUGGGAUGCGGGAGGGAGGCCGCUCCCAGGUUAAAGCGGAGUGUCAAAGAGCCGAAGAGAUGGUUUCCAGCGAAAAGAAAAGGUGUGAGAACCACUCUGGGGUGAACAAGGAAGGUGGAAGCAGGUUUAAAAAGGUUACUGCGUGGUGGUGUUGUUUCCAGGUGGCCCACAUGCAGGGCUUCUGGGACCAGGAAACCGAGCCUCAGACCCCAGGACAGAGUGUGUGUUUGCGGACUUUCCAGAAAGUCUGCCCACCCCCCCCCCCCCCAACUUUGCACAUGGUGGUGGUUUUACUUUGCCUUAGGAGGAGGGAAGGGGUCUAGCUAAGAAAUACCCGAGUUGACGGCUGCCUCUAAAACACCCACGUCUCCUAAUGGGGGCUGUGCAGCCCCUUCCAGAAUGGGGAUGCAGCGUUCCCACGAGGGAGGAGGAGGGUCGGGCCCUUCCGCCAUGUCCCAGCACAGCUGCCCGCCUGCCCUCCCUGCCCCAGGCACACCUGCCAUCCAGCUGUUCUUGCCGGGAGGCUCCUUGGAAGGGACUUGAAACAGAGGUGCCUGCGUAUGGAAUUCAGUGGCCAGUGUCCUGUGUCUGUGAGAUGCCUGCUGUUUAUUUGAGAGGCUUAGGGCGUUUUUCCAAAAGCUGAUUCUUACGCCUCAAAUAGAGAGUUUUUUUUUUUAAUGCCGUCUCUGAGUUUUCCAGUGUGUUCCCCAUUGGGUGUACAGAGCAGAUGCGCUGGCCGAGGAGCCCCUGCUUCCGGAAGCUUGAGCUGAGGCUGAUAUUUGGGUUAGGGAGAGGGCCAAUAGGGUGUCUAAACGUCUUACAGAUUUCUGUUUUUUAAGGGACAGUGUGACCUGAAAACAUUUUGAGUAUACGACUAGGUUUACAUUUUGGUUAGGGGAUGUCCUGGUACAGAGUGCUCUCGGAACACUUUUUUUUCUAUUGAACACGCUUCAGAGGACAGCUCCCUGCACACAACGCCCAUACCUGUGUUGUUACUUUUUUUUUUUUAAUUUCUAAAUGUUUUUAAAUGUAAGCUCUUAUGUCCAGCAUGGGGCUUGAACUCAUCACCCCGAGAUCAAGACAGAGUCAGCCAGGAACUCAUUUGUUACUUUUUGUUUUUUAAGAUCAAAUUCAUAUAAAAUCCACUGUAUUCACCUUUUUAAAGUGUGCAGUUCAGUUUCAUGUUCAUCAUGUUGUGCAACUGUCACCACAGUCGAAUUCCAGAACAUUUUCCACCCUCCAGCAAGAGGCUCGUACCUGUUAGCCGUGACCCCUGCAUCUGCCCUGCGCCUCCCCCUGCCCCUUCUCGCCCGAGGCUCUGUGUAACCAUCACUCUACUUUCUGCCUCCAUGGAUUUCCCUGUUCUGGAUUUUUCACAUAUAAAUGGAACCCUACAACACGUGGCCUUUUGUGUCUGGCUUCUUUCAUUCGGUGUAGUUAUUUUCUGUGUUCACGCACGUUGUAGUGUGUAUCCAUUCUUCAUUCCUUUUAUGGCCGAAUGAGAUCCCGCGGUGUGGGUAUACGACAUCUGAUGAUCCUUUCAUAAACGGUGGGCAUUUGGAUCGUUUCCGCUUUGGGGCUUUUACGAAUCAUGCUGUUGCGAACACCUGUCUGUGUGCAAGUUUCUGUGCGAAGCGUUUUCGGCUUUUUUCGGUACACGCCCAGGAGUAGGAAUGCUGGGUCACAUAUGGGGACUCUGUGUUCCCGUUUCCGAGCCUGCUGCUGUUUGACGUCUUGGGUGCGGCUCCUGUUUGUUCUCCAGGUGCUCAUCUAAUGCCUGGGCCGCUGCACCUUUCCCUGCUCUGGUCUCCCUCCGGCCGCCUCGUCGGGUUCCUUGCAUGGUGGAGCUGCCGCACUUUGGAACCAGCGUGAGAGACAGGUGGACGCGUGAGCAGGCUGUGUGUUUGGCUAACGGCAGAUGCUGUUGGUGGCCCACCCUGGGGUCUCUCCCCUCUGCGCCCGCCUGCCUCCUCACUCUUCCCCGCACCGGGGCGAAACCAGAUGUUUGUCUAAACUGUCCUGGCAGGGCCUUCCCUGUGGCCAGGCGUGGUGGGGGUUGCACUUAGUUCUGGCCAGAGAGGCAGGGGAUGUCAGGGUUGCUGCUGGAAACGUGCUGCUUCUCUCAUAAAAGGAGAUGAGCCAGGACAAAGCCCAUGAACGUGCCUGUGGGCAAAGAGGCUCCAGGGCCAGCUGCCACCAAUCUAAGCAUUGGUGGGCUGGUGGGGGUUGGGGGGCAGGACAGUGUGCAAUGCAGGGGACGCGGAGCAGGAAUGUGGAAGGGGCCUGGGCCCUCAGUCUUGCAGUCACCCUGCCCCCAACUUUCUGUGAUGGGAAACAGGAGUGUUACGGUUAAAAUCCGGAUGGUAGAAAGUUUCUUUUGGCUGCUUUGCUGGUGUGGACUUACUAGUCCUGCUUUUGAGAUACUCUGGUUCUGGGUGAGGGUAGACAUGAGAGCAUGAGGAGGAGUGUGUGCUCCAAGCUGUCUCUCCUAGCAGCAGGCAGGGUCCCAUUUGCCCAGCCAGAUGUCCCUCGAUACUUUGCAUGGAGCCAAUAAAGCAUUAAGCAAUUAGAAUGGUUAAUAUUCAGUUAAGUAUAAUUAGAAGCUGGUGUAAAUUGUGAAUGAAAUUGACGGGUUCCAGAAGUUAAGGCAAAAUACCAAAUCUUUUUCAGCUGUGUGUGUGUGUGUGUGUGUGUGUGUGUGUGUGUGUGUGUGUGUGUGUGUGUUCUGCGAGGGUCUGUUGAUUCAGAUAGGUGUGGAAUUGACACGGAGGGCCGUCACCAACUCAGUUCGUUGUAAUUUUAAAAGUUUAGGAACAUCCGGCCGAUUGUUUUAUGGUGUUAAACAUUGAAAUCCUUAAGUCAAAGUGUAAGAGUUUUAACACCGAUUUGUACGAGAUGGGCAGGAAAAUCCAGACCCCUGUUUUCUGUCUGCCUCUGGGGGUAUGUGUGUGUGUGUCUCACCCUCAUCACUCAUCAGUUCACAGCACACAUGAUUCAUCUUAGUAAGUUUUUCUUCCUUUAGGCUCCACCCCCAUUUCUAGACGCUGGCCCUCCCGCCCUAUGCUGGUGUUUAGUGUGCCUCUACACAGCUGUAUUCUUGUGAACUGGGCACCCUGCUUUGUAGGUAUAAGUAGCUUAACUCCUGUCUGGGGAUGUGCUGUACAUCUUUCUCCCUCCUUUUCACUCGUCACUGGUUUGGAGAUCUGACCAUGUUCCUCCCUACACAGUUUGGUCGUCCUUCAUGAUAGCUGCGUUGGAUUCCAUCUGAAGAAUCCACUUGUCUUGGUUCGCUCAGGCUGAUCUAACAAGAUACUCUAGACUGGGCGGCUUAAACAACACACAUUUUAUUUCUCACAGCUCUGGAGGCUGAAAGUCCAAGGUCAAGGUGCCUGCAGAUUGCAUUCCUGGUGAGCGUCCUCUUCUGGCUUUCAGACUGCUGUAUCCUCCAGGCGACAGACGGGCCUGAGAGAGAGUGAGGGAGCACUCUGGUGUCUCUUACAAGGUUGCUAAUGCCAUCGUGGGGACCCCACCCUCAUGACCUUCGAAAGACCCACCUCCAGAUGUCAUCACUUCAAGGGCUAGGACUUCAGCAUAUGAAUUUGGGGGACACAAGUUCAGUUCUUAGCACCGCCCGGCUUCUGGGUCCAUUUCCGUGGGGGUGGCUCCACAUUGUGGUCUCUAAUACCCCAGUGCCUCUGGCAUCCUUAACGCACAGGGCAUGAUGGCUGGUCCAGGAGUGGGUUGCUGGGUCCAGAGUGAAAAGGGCUGUUAAUUUCACUAAGUGCUGCCAGAUUGCUUCCCAGAGCAGAGGCACCACUGCUCUCUCCACGUUCGUGUCAGCACUUCCUGGAGACUUUUUGCCAUUCUGAUGGUUUUAAAGUGGUACUUCAGCGUUGUGUGAUUCUUCUCUAAUCACCGGUAAGGUUCAUACUUGUUACCUACCUCUUUUAUACUUCUAAGAUUUUCAGAUUUACCCUUCUGUAAAUUGUCUGGUCAUAUAGUAUUUUGUUUUGUUUUGUUUUUUUAAUGAUUUACUUUUUUUUUUGUUGAUUUGUAAGAGUUCUUUGUAUGUUUUGCAUGCUAAUCCUUUGUUGGUUUUUGCUGUUGCAAAUAAUCUUUCCCAGUCUCUUUUGUUGAUUUGUCUGUAGUGUCCUUCGAUAUGUAAAAAAACUUAAUUUUGAUGAACUCCAAUCUAUCCGAUUUUCCCCCUCAUGUUUGGUGUGUGAUUUCCCUCUUGAGAACAUCUUUCCCCAUUCGGAAUCACAAAGGUUAUCAUGUACUUUUUUUUUUUUUAAUGCUUCUUUAAAAAUGAAUUCUUUUCUAAUUCAUUUUUGGUUGGUUUUCAUUUUUGAGAGGGAGACAGAGCACAAGCCAGGGAGGGGCAGAGAGAGAGGGAGACACAGAAUCCAAACGAAGCAGGCUGCAGGCUCUGAACUAUGGGCUCAAACCCACAAACAGUGAGAUCGUCACCUGAGCUGAAGUUGGGUGCCCAAUCGACCGAGCCACCCAAGGGCCCCCCUGUCUUUUUUUUUUUCUCUUUUAAAGUUUAUUAAGUAAUCUUUAUGCCCAACGUGGGGCUUGAAGUCAUAACCCUGAGAUCAGGAGUCUCAUGCUCUACCAAGUGAGCCAGCCAGGCGCCCCAAAGAUACUUGUAUUUUGAUGGCUAUGUCACAUAACUAUCAAACAUUGGUCUUCCUCGUUUAGAUCUUUAGGUUGGAAAUGGUUUUUGUACAGAUAGGUAGCCAGGUUUUCCAACAUUGCUGAACAGUUGUUUUGUCUCCUACCCUGUGAUUUUGGGAGCUGCGUCUCUUGUACGUCAGGGCCUCAUAUACAUGUGGGGAUGCUUCUAGGGUCAUUCUUUUGUUCUGCCCCUUAUUUGUUUCUUCUUGCACUGGCACCACCCAAUUUUACGGUGGCUUUAUAUGCGUUUUAAUUUCUGAUCACGUGAAUUUAUCCUCUUUGGCUCUUUUUCAAAGCACCUUGGCGACUCAAGGUCUAUUGUUCUUUGAUGCACGUAUCUGUCUGGUUCCCCCUCAAGUUCUGCUGGAGUCUCUAUUGCAUUUGGAUGAAAUCUACAGGUUAAUUUGGGGGCAGGGGGAAAUGAAGACCUUUUAAGUUGUCCCAUCCUUGAACAAAGAUACUUCUCCAUUUAUUUAGGUCUUCCUCCUCCAAAAAGGUUUUGUGAAAUCUUUAUUUAAUUAAUUUCUAGUCCUUUACAGUUUUUGUGGUGUUGUGACCAGUGUCUUAUUUAAAAACAUUUUUUUUUUCUUCUGAUUGUUGAUUGUGGUAUGGAAGAAAAACAACUGGUUUUGUUUGCCGAUUUUGAAACUGGCAGGCUUGCUGAGUCUCUUUCUAGUUUUACUGAUUACCUUGACUCUGUUACCUUUCCCUGGGGAUAAUAUCAUAUGCAAAAUAAGUGACUCUUUUGUUUACCCCUUUCCUUCCACUCCUUGAACCAGAGUGGCUUGUUUUGUUGGCCAGAAACUCAAGGACUCCGUUGCAUAGUGGUUUAGUGAUGGUGGCCUGCUCUUUCCUGGUCUCAAGGGAAGUUUUGGUAGACGCCUGAAACAGAUUAAGCAAUUACCUUGAUUCCCUUUCCCUUCCUUUUCUGAGAGUUGUUUUUUUUUUUUUUUAAAUAAUAAUUAGGUGUUGACCUUUAGCAAAUACUUUUUCUUAAAAUCUAUUCAUGGCCAUGCGACUUUGAUCCCUUAGUCCAUGCGUGUGAUAAAUUGCAUUACAGUGAUGGAUGCUUUGAGGCCAGAUCAUGCAGUGCAUUGUGGGGCCAACCGUGUCUUGAAUUUUAAAAUAUGGUUGGAUUUGAUGCAUAGUUUUGACAUCUGUGUUUCCCAAUCAAAUCGGCCUAUAUACUUUUCUUACCCAUAUCUAGUUGGAAUUGAAACUCUACGGGUCUCGUGUAAAAUAGGUUAAACUUGUUUUGGGAUCAUUUCUAUGAGAUGAGGAACGCCUGUAGCUUCAGUGUGAUCGCGCUCCCCCUGUCCCGCCGUGGGUCCUGAGACUGAGUGUGGCGAGCAGGCGUUUACCGUCUCACUCUCUUUAUUAGUCUGACUCUUCCUUUUGUAGACCCAUCUGGGCAUUUUCUAACUUUCUAGAAGUAUGUCCAUUUCAUCGUGGUUUUAACACUUAUUCUUGUAUGAGUGUUCAUAAUAUUUUCGUGAUUUGUGUAAAUCUGUUGUUUUAGUGCUAGCUGCUUCGCGUUUUCUUUCUAGAUUCUGUAUUUCUGAACGUCUCUGUGACUUCUUUUCAGUCUCCUGUAGAGUUUGGUUUGUCUUACGAGCUCUUAAACGAAACCUGCCUUUUGCCCUUCUUGCCCUCUUUGUCCUUUUUUUUUUUUCUUUUGCGUCACUGAUUUUUCUCCUUUAUUUCACUCCUCUUAGAGGGCACUCUUUUUUGCAAACGUCUUUUUUUGAAAGUUCAGCUUUUAAUAGUUUAAAUUCUUUAUUGUUUUCUGAUGAGUGUAUUGAAAGCCGUAAUAUUUCUUCUAAAAAUUGCCUUAGCACUGCUCCAUAAACGGACAGUUAGUGCUUUCAUUUUUAUUCACUUCGUAAUUUUGUAUUCGUUUUGUAAUUUCCCCCUGUAACCCAAGGGUUAGUUAAUUGAAUGUCUUUCCUAGAUUUUUGACAUUUAUUUUAUUGAUUGAUCGUGGGCUCCACGCCCAACGUGGAGCUUGAACUCACAACCUUGAGAUUAGGAGUCACGUGCUCUACCAACUGAGCCAGCCAGGGCCCCUGGAUUUUUGACAUUAAAAAAACAAAAAACAAAAAACAAACAAACAAAAACUUCUUGGGGGUGCCUGGUUGGCUCAGUCCGUUGAGUGUCCCACUCUUGAUUUUGGCUCAGGUCGUCAUCCCCGGGUCGUGGGAUCGAACCCUGUGUCUGACUCCUCACUAAACGUGGAGCCAGCUUGAGUUUCUGUCACUCUCUCUGCCCCUCUCCCCUGCUCGUAUGCGUGCUCACGAGCUCUCUCUGUCAAAGAACAAAACAAAACAAAAACUUUUUAUUCUGUUGAUGUCUGUUUUGAUUGCAUAUGGCCAGAGAGCAUAGUUCACGUGAAUGCCGAUUUCUUUGGAAUAGAUAUUUAAGAGACCCUAUGGCAUUUGCACUUGGAAUGUUCCAUAUGUGCUCAAACGUAAUGUGUUUUUUGUUUGAGGAUAGAAUUUUCCAUGUAUUAUUUUGAGCUUAUCUGUGGUACUUAAUUCUUCUACGCCUCUGCUAAUUUUCUUCCCAUAGUUUUGACAGCUGUUUUAUUAUAGAAUGUUAAGGCUAUAUUGUUAGAUGCACAUACGAGCACGGUCUUUACAUCUUCCUGAUUAACAGUUUCUUUUCCUGGUGUCUGUGCAGCCUCUUUCUUCCUCUUUUAUGAUGUUUUUUUCACCUUACAUUCUAUUUGUGUUGAUGCUACAGUAAUUUUGUUUAUUCUUUUGUUUUUAGUUUCUGUGUGCCCGAUAAAGCUUUUUUCUCUUCUGUCCAGAUUUUCAGUCUUUCCAGAUCCUUUUGCUUUAAAUGUGUUUUAUUUUAGAUAUACGAUGUGGGAUCUUGUUUUUUAAUUUAUUUAUUUUUUUAAUGUUUAUUUAUUUUUGAGAGAGAGAGAGAGAGAUAGACAGCGCAUGAGUUGGGGAGGAGCAGAGAGAGAGGGAGACACAGAAUCCAAAGCAGGCUCCAGGCUCUGAGCUGUCAGCACAGAGCCUGAUGCGGGGCUUGAAUCCACAAACUCCAAGAUCGUGACCUGAGUUGAAGUCGGACACUUAACCUACUGAGCCACCCAGGCGCCCCGGAUCUUGUUUUUUAAACCCAGGUUGAGAGUCUGUCUUUGAUUAGUGAAUUUAACUGGCAUACAUUUAGGGUAAUUGUGAUUAUAUUAGCACUUCUGGAGUAUUAUUUUAUGUUUUCUUUUUACCAUUAUUUUCGGGAGGGUAUCUUUCCUUGCAAUGUUUGAUUGGGUUGAUUUUUUUUUUCCCUCUGCUGGAUUUUAUAAUUAUGCCAUCUAUUUUCUUUUCCUGAAAUUCAGAAUCCAGAUUAUUCCUGAAAUGAUUAAGACCCACUCCCGUAUUUAUUUUUUCCUCUCCGUUUCUAAAGUCAGUAUCUCUGUCCUAUUAACACCAGCCCGUCUCUGUCCUCUCUGCUCGUUUUGGCUGCAUCUGUUUCAGUUCGGAUCCAUGAACUCUGCUUCGUCUGUGCAGGUUGCUGGGCUGGUUAAUUUCUUUUGUCUAGUGUUUCCUCUCCUUCAGACUGUUUUUCCUGGUGACCCCUGAUCCCUCGGCCUGGGCCCCAGGGUAUUAGCUGAUCCCUUGCCCCUGAGGGGGGAGAGUUAGGCUACAGCUUGUCAGUCACUGAGUUUGGUGGUUAGAGGGCUUGAGGGGGUGCACUGAGGCCCCUCAGGCAACCUUGGGGUCUUCUCUCCAGCCACACCUGUUUUCCUGGGGCUACCUGCCUCUGAUGUCCUGGGCCGCAGAUCCCCCUGGGCAUGGGCCACCCUCAGGGAUUCUGAUUCUGCUAGUUUGGGGUGGGUAUUGGUACCUUUUAAAAGUUUCUCAUGAUAGGAAUAGGGUACAGUAUGGACUGAUUAUGAAUUGACAGCGGUUGAACAUCCAACUAAAAUUCAUGCACAGCUAAAAUUCUGAUCACUUCCCAGCUAACACCCAGGAAUUCUGGUGGACGGCAUGGAGGAGGCCAGCUAGCUAGACCUGGGGCUAACUGCGAGAACAGUUAAAAUGGGUCUAUUACGUUUCUGCUGGACAGCGCUGUUCUAACGUAGACUCUCGCUACUCAAAGAGGUCCACAAACCCGUUUGGGCAUCCCCUGGGAGCUUGUUAGAAGUGCAGAAUGUCAGGCCCCAGCCAGACCUCCUGAGUCAGAAUCUGCAUUUUUAUGAGAUUCCCCAGGUGAUUCAUAGACGCAUUAGAAUUUGAGAAGCACUGGGCUAGAUCCUUAAAAGGGAGGGUUGGUUUUAUUUAAUUCAUAUUUUAAGAGAAUGACGCUUCCCUUAUCUGCUCCAAUGAGCUUUCCAGAACACAGGUAGUAGUCAGGGGGCUGAGCUGCCAGGGGAUGGCUCUCCAAGGGCGCCUCUCUUGCCCCCUCCCAAGCCUCGCUUCCACCCAGCUCCUCUUGUACACACGCUUCUAAUAGUAUCGAUCAUCUGCUUCUCAAGGUCCUAACACGUUAAAACAACAAAUCGGAAGAAGGCAAGGGACGUCCUCGAGGUAGGACUGGCUGUCCACUUGGGAGCAGAAGACCAGAAAGACAAAAGAAUUGCAGGCCCCGGGCUGUGUCGUGCGGGGGCAGUUUCUGCAUGCAGACUGUUGAGGAACGUACGGAUGCGGGACGGAUUUCGGCACUAACCUUCAUUAUGCUUAGCCCGAGCCACUAAGUGAUUAAGUUAGGUUCUGGUUAGACCCCUGUGCCGACCAUCCCUGUGGAGGAGGCGUAUUUUCUCCUGCGCUGUAGCAAAUGUCGGGGCCGAGACCGAAGACACUCACUUGGAAGUUGAACUUUGGGGCGCCUUUCUUCCGCUCAUUGUGCUGGGCCCAUGAUGUACCGUCAUCUGGAAAUGGUGGCUCUCGGUGUGAGAACGUGGGGUUGUCUGGGUGGCCUGCCUUUGGAUGCGCCCAGAAGCCGUCAGCUGCCUGCCCUGCCGGCUGAGGGCACGCUGGCCUGGGCGGCCGACCCUUCUGACUUGGAACCUUUGCUUUUCCAUUUAUGAGCCGUGUGACCUUGGGCCCUUAACCUGCUUCCUCUGUCUGUACAAGGGUGAUAGUAAGACUACUCUCACUUCGUAAGGGUUUUGUUAAGACUCCGCUUAGGACGGUGCCUGAUCCACGAUCCUUGGUUGGUUUAGCCUGAAAAAGUCAAGGAAGGUGUUACGGGGGAGGCAGCUCACCAGAAGAGACCGCCCUCUCUGAAAAGAAUAAUAGUGGUAGUAACCCAGACUGAGAUGUCCCGUCGUCAGGGCGGCAGGGAUGCCUGGGCCGUCUGGCUCACCGGGUACGUACUGAUGUUGUGGCGUUGGUAUUUUUCUUUUACGCUUUUUUCCCCAAAGACUGUUCUGCCUUAGAAGAUUAAAAAUAUCUGCUUCCACAUUAGACCCAAUUCAGUUUGAAUAAUUGCAUUUUUAAGGCAAAAGCCUGCUCCUGGGCGUGAGUAGCUUGCACGUCAGACGUUCAGCGGGCAAAUGAAAAACGUGAGUCAUGCAGUGCUUGGCACCUUGGGCUUUUAAUAUUUGGUGGCAAACUUCCUACGGAGAGGAGGACUUUGAAAGUGGAAGUCCUUUCAGAUCCAGAUGGCCAAAGGAUUCUCCGGUGUCGGUUGGGACUAGUGAUUGAAUUUUCUCCUCCUGUUUCCUUGGCCUGCUGGGCCUCUCCGGGGGCCCAGUUUUGUUCAGAAGGGACCGUGUCGGUACAGCGAGGCUGUGUGCCUGGGGAAUGUGCCUACCUCGAAGGAUGAGAACAAGCCAUCCUAGCAGCUUCUCGAAUGCACAGCAGAUAGAAAAGAGAGCGCGUGUAGAGCAACGCGCAAGGCAUCUUUUGUUUUUUUUUUUUUUUGUCUCCGGUGGUUGCUGACAGCGACCAGCAGGACCCAGCAGCUUGCCAUGUGACUUACGUGUCAGGCUCUGAGUUUUGUUUUCUUGGCCAGGAUCUGGAAGGCUGUUUCCAAGUAGGUGUUUCUUCCUUGGCGGCAGAUCUGGGCUGUUAUGUAGUCAGCCCUGUCCUUUUCUGAAGGGGAGCCGCCGUGGGGGGAUGGGAGAGGGGCAGAGUGGCUAAUAUUAGCGUUCCCUCCCUCCUGGAUCAUGUAAUCUCUAACGGACUGGCACUGUUGCCUGGAUUUUGAAUGUAGGCAGUUCCUAUAAAGCGCACUUGGGUCUGACUUUUAGGUAUGUAAGAGGAAGACAAAAUUUGGAGGAAAUGGUGAAAUCGUUUUACAGAACAUGCAGCAGCCCCUAGGGAUUUCAGGAGCAAAGUCAGAAAGUUUACUGGGGAGAAAUCUUGGAUGAUAAGGAAAAAGAAUUCCGUGCCUGGUAGGGGCUCGAGGCUCCCCUGAGACAUAGGUGCUCCCGGGUGCCCGGCUGGGCCCGGGGCUACAGGAAGGGCCUCCUGGGCUUUUGGUCCCAGCAGCUCCCGGCAGCCUCUGGGGAAGUGGGAGGCUGGGAGCCCCCUCCACCUGACAUUUCCAGCCCAGGUUGGAGCAGAGCUCCUAGGUUCUGCCUUGAGAAAAUGGUCAGGGUGUGGGGGGGGGGGGGAGGGGGGCGCCUGGGCGGCUCAGUCCGUGAAGCAUCCGACUCUUGGUUUCAGCUCAGGUCAUGCUCUCACGGUUCCUGAGUUCGAGCCCCACAUCGGGCUUCGUGCUCACGGUGCGGAGCCAACUUGGGAUUCUCUCCCUCCCUGUCUCUCUGCCCCUCCCUUGCUCACUCUGUCUCUCUCUCUCAAAAUAGAUAAAUAAACACUUAAAAAUUUUUUAAGAAAAUGGUCAGGGAGGGCACCUGACUGGCUCAGUUGGAGGAGUGUGCAACCUGUGAUCUUUUGGGUUGUGAGUUUGAGCCCCACACUGGCAUAGACUUUACCUAAAAAUAAGUAAAAUAAAAAAAAACAAAAACAAAAAAAAGGAAAGGGUAAGGGAUGAGAAGCUUGGGAGGAAAAACAGUUGUGAAGGCAGAAUAAACACUCUUCCAUGUGAUCCUUAUGGUUAUCACAGUGUGGAGUUGUUGAAGGAACCAGAAAAAGAAAAAAAAAAGAAGGUUGUCCGUCCUUUUGAAUGUAUUUCAUUUUAAAAUAAAAACGGCCUAACGGUAGUCAUUGUUUUUGCAGGUUUUCUUUCUCUCAAAGCACUUUAUUUUCAGUUUUUACCCCGAUUCUAUCAGUAUGAGAAAAGGACCAGCCCCGGCCCCCUGCCCACCUCUCCCCACCGUCAGCACCUGCACCCUGGAACUGUUCUCUGUCUAUGCAGCUGGCUUCUGCACCUGGUCCCCAGGUUUCAGCGUGGGCAUUGCUUGCUGGUGGGGUGCCGUGGGACUGGGACCGGCAGGUGCAGUGGAGGCCUCACCAUGGGGCCCCUGCAGAGUGGCCUUGUUUCUCUGCUCACCCGAUUUUCAACUAUUGGGCAUUUGGAUAGCUACGACUAUGGAAAUAGGAGUUUCUGUGUACAAGGUCUAAUUUACCCCCAAACUCUUUUCCAGCAACACGUAUCUCUUAAAACAUCAGGUAGGUAGGGGUUCAUCUUUUCUUUGGGAGCCCCCUCCUGGUCCCUUGUCCUUCUCCUGCUGGACGGGCUGCUGCCUGGCACAGGGCCCCCACUUUCCUCCUGGUCUCUUCCCCAUCAUCUUGGGCCACCCUUUCCCCCUCCUGCUUUGGAUCCCUGUCUCCUGAAUUCUGCGAUUUUGUCUUUCUCUCAUUUGGGGAAUCUCCUCCAGUAGCUUCCUGAUAAAGAUGGUUGCCGAACAUAGAAUUCUAGAAUUCCACCCUCGCAAGUCAAAGACGUGGCUCCGCUGGUCAAGGACAGGCUCGUUUCCCAUCCUUUGCCGUUUCUCUGUGACACCGUUCAGAGCCCUGACCUUCGCCUCCUGUUCUCCGGGAUCGUGAUGGUUCUCCUCGGGGAGUCAAAAUGCAUGGCUUUCAUCCACUUUCAACACAUAAAAGAUGUUUUCAACACAGAAAGGCCUUUCACCGCUCUUAAUAGUCAGCUUUUGGAAAGAUGUGGACUAGAAUGAAAAAUGAGGAUGAACACCUCUGAAAUCAGCUGUUUUGAAUUAAAUAAAGCAGAGUGAGGUUGGAGUCAGGUGAAGCGAGAAGAUGGCAUUUAGCCAGUGAGGAUUAAUACGCCGGCUCCUUUAAGCCAAGGGACCGUCUUCUCUGAAAUGUGUGAGGGGUGGACAGGGCUUGUCUGCCCCUCUCCCCCCCACUUCUGCCCCAACAGGGCUGUCGCCCCCUUACCUCGACUUGGCUCAGGAUGACUUCAUCCUUCCCAUGGCUUUGCAUAAUUGCAAGGAGGUGUUCUGGGGGGUUUUUCGCGGGGAUUUUUCCCCCCUUAGCUGUAGUUCCGGGUGCUUUUCGGAGACCCGCUUCACCGGGCUGGCUUAGCAAGUGAGGAUUCCGAGUCCGGGAGCGAGUUGUCUGAAUGUCCGGGGCGGGUGAGCACCUGGAGGCCCUCUCGGCUCCGUGGGCGUCUGCAGGUGUUUUGGGUGGGUCGAGUGCCCCUGUCCCCUGCUCUCCACGUGGAGCAUGGUGGCCUGGAUGUCGUGUAUCCAGCGGGGCCCCUAGCCAGCUUUGCACGGAGACUAUGGGAACGGGACUAAAGUCACGAAAUGUCCUUGCAGGACCUGUUGACCUGACCUCUGUCUCGGUGGAGCAGUGGGGGUCCCUAGUCUGACCCCGAAGGUGGCAGAGGCGAUCUUCCCUUGCUCGAGGCCAGCUGUUAAUGAACUUCAACACAGAAGGGAGUUCUCUUCUCCAUUCUGGGUGGGGACUAGUAAAAUGCCUUUGGCCAGCUGGUAGAACUAAGUCCUGGGAAAUUCUGGAUCCUCCAGCUCAGUCGACUUGGAGUGAACCGUGUGGACAGCAGUGAAUUUGCCCCCCUACGUGUUUUCUCCAGUCAGGCUCGUCCCUCGUGGUGGGCACCUGGUGCUGGUGGUUCUUACGGGAGCUGAGUGCCCCCUUCCUUGGAGCCAGCCUUUGCCUGGGCGUGGUCUUGUCGGCCACUCAGGGCCAUUCCAGAUAGUGCGGCCCUUCAGGGGUCAGGUCAGGCAUCUGUGGCUCCAGGCCAGCAUUUUAAGCAAAUGCCCGGAGUGCACAGCCCAGGCCCUCCACUCAGUGAAGUGCUCGGGCCAGAACAGAGUAUUUUGAACACUGGACACUGUGUUUCAGUUGUUACACCCAGGAGCAGGACUCAUUACCAGGGAGCUUGAAUUUAAGGAAAAAAAAAUGCCGUUAUCUAGAUUCCUCAAGGUUACGACAAAGCUGAAGCAGCUUGUUACCGAGCAAAUGGACAGAAGUGUCGCCAGAAGCAUUUCAGUUUCUGUUUUUGGGGUAGUGGUGGCAGGGGUUCCAUCUCAGAGGCUGACUUGGGUUUGCUUCAGUUGGUUUUACUUCCUUCAGGACGCAGGUCUGGUGUUCCUUCCCGCAUAAGAGAGCACCCCCUCCCGGCCCCUCCCUGGACUUUUUCUUCAUUGACUUAUCAGUCACGUGAGCCACUAUUUAUAAAGUCUGUCCCCUCCCUCCCCCACUCCCCCCACCAUGUGAACUGUGGCUGCUUAAUGAAGGUACACCUUGGCCCCUAGUAUGGGAACGGCUUUUUAAUCCCAAGAACGCCUUGCUAUUUAUUCCUGGAUCGUGGAAACCAGUACACUGCUCCUUUUUUUUUUUUCUUUCUCCCCUUGAAGAAAUCCAGUAACCCUAGGCUUUCUAGAUCCAAAGUGGGUCAGAUGGCUAAUGAUUGAAGAUGGAUUGGCGUCCGGUGUCUUUGGGAACCUAAAGCUGGACUCGGGCUGCAUUCGUGUUUCUCUUCCUCUCGUCAAAGCGCCUCCAAUGGCAGCUGACUUUGCAGUCACUGUGCACCGGGGGUAAGCCAAGCCCCAGCCGCUGGAGACCAGGUGGCCCUGCCUCCACCUGAGCUGGGAGGGAGGCGGGUCUAUGAUUAACUCGGUGAUGUCUUCAAUGUGAUUGCUGGGGGCUGAAAACAUUAACUUUUACAAAAUGAUUUAAAAUUACCAAUUGACGAUAUCCGGGGCUGAACCUGCAUGAUUCAGCUCCUUUUAAAAAUAUCUUUUCUCAACAAAUUGCUUCCUUAACAUUUUAAUUUGUUGAUCAUAAAGGAAGCUUGCCAAAUAUUAGCUGGUCUUUUCCAUUUCCUGCAGCUCCGAGCUUCCCUUAUUUGGCAUAUUUCAGUGGAACUGUAAGGUCACUCCCUAGUUCUCUUCCCAAAGAACUGUAUUUAUUACUGUCAAGUAUUGGCGGGUUUGAUCCAGCUGUCAUCAGAACGUUUGGAAAUAUUUUUUUUUGCCAGAAUGCUGAUUUAAUGAUCUAAUACUGACAUGGCUUGUUUUCUCCGCUGAUUUGAUAACUUACUUGUUCAAUAAACUCCCCUCUUAGUGAGCCACGCUGUUCUUUCUUUUUUCUUUUCUUUUCUUUUCUUUUCUUUUCUUUUCUUUUCUUUUCUUUUCUUUUCUCUUCUCUUCUCUUCUCUUCUCUUCUCUUCUCUUCUCUUCUCUUCUCUUCUCUUCUCUUCUCUUCUCUUCUCUUCUCUUUUCUUUUCUUUUCUUUUCUUUUCUCUCCUCUCCUCUUCUCUUCCUGCUACCACAAGCUUUAUGGGCAGUGUCUUAAAGACAGUAGUGGGGUUUUUUUUUCCCCUUCCUUUCUCUUUCUUUUACUCCCUCCACCCCACCUCCGUCCUCUCCUCCCCUCCUCUUUUUUCUUCUUUUUUUUUGGAGAGGCCCUAGAUGUGUUACCAACUGUCCUUGAGGAAGUUAGCAUUGCUGCUGCCUGGUAUUUUGAAGUGCACUUAAGAAAAAUUUCAGACAGACCCCAAAGUAGAGAGGCAACUAGAACGAAACCUCCGUGUUCCUACCCCUCAACCAGCUUUACAAAGUUAGGACCUAACAUUAUGCCUGGUUUCAUCUCUGCCCCCGCUUACUUGCAUUUUGGAAAGGACAUCAUACUUCCCCGUAAAUAUUUCAAUAUGUAUCUCUAAAAGAUAACGUGUUUAUUUUUUUUAAGCACCAUAUACCCAACAUCAUACCUCAAAAAAAGAAAGCAACAGUGUGAGGAAGGAGUUUCUACCGUGUGGCACCCUACUGAGUCAGUCUGUGGGAGUCACGGGAGGAGAGGGGCUUUGACUCAGAACUCUGCCCCAGGUCCUUUGCUGCUGCACCUGCCCUAGCGUCCUGAGCUAGUUACUGCUACGACCCAGGAGUUGUGCUAGUUCCUCUGACUCAAAAUCCUGAGUCUCUGGAUGUUCGAGGCUCUGACUUGCUUUGGAGUUGGCCACUUGGGCUUGGUUGCAGGAGGAGGUAGGCACGUGCCUCGUGUUGACCGAUUCUGCUUGCGCGAGGGUGUGCCCUGCCUCGUUCCUGCCGGUGGGGGGAGUUUGAAUGUUGGACUUCGGCUGCAUCCACCUGGUAGUGGAACCUGUGCUCCUGAUCAUCCCGUUUCUGUCCUGGCGGAUCAUUGUGUGUGCCUCGGAUUCCCCUCCUUUCGCUUGUGCCGAUUAUCUGAAACUCUGUGUAGUAGUUGAUUCUCUAUGUGGAAGAUCGGUUUCCACAUUCAGUGGGUUAGUGUUUAGGGCCAGUUAACAGGGGUCAACAUUUGCAACCCACUGUCGCCCCAGUCUUUUGGGACUGAGAUGUUUCGGUCAUUUGAAUUUAACGAACUGCCUGGCUCUGCACCAGACACUGGGGCUUCAGAGCUCGUUCAGGUACUGGCUGUGUGUCCAGGAGCUCCUGCCUUCACUGCAGGAGGAUGAGCCAGGCAUAGGGCUGGGAGCUCAGUGCUAGGGGGCUGGGUGGACAGAAGGUCCUGAGUGGUGGUAAUGGUCCUGCUGGGCCUUGGAGCAUGCGUGAGAUUUGCACAUGUCCAGGGGGUGGGGGGUGGGGGGUAGCCCUGUGUCGAUCACCCAUAAUCCCACUACCAGAGUCCUAUACCGUGAACGUUGUGAUUCAUUUCCUUUGGAUAUUUCCCUACAAAUAUAUGUAUUUAUGACAUCUAUUCAAGCAACCAGUAACUCAGGAAGCCUGUAUUGAGCACCUGGCCAUGGGCCAGACCCUCUUUCUUGGUUCUGGGGUUGGUGGGGAGAGGUCAAGGUAAUUCUUGCCCUUAAGGAGCUUACAUUCUGGUACGUUUAUGGAACAAAUCCCAUCAUACAGUUGAUGGUAUCUGUGUUCGGUUUGGCUCACUUUACAAAUCACACCAGGCCAUCCGUGGAAUUAUUUGCCUGCCCUUCCAGCCUGCAAUUGCCCUUCAGCUUGACAGAGAACAGCUGCCCGUGACAUGUGACCCUCUCAACACCAGCCCCACUAACAGGCUCAGAAGGUGCUCAGAGAUGGCUUCCAGCUGGGCGGGCUCAGGACCUGCCCCCUUUCCCUUUGGGUUGCCUGUGAAGGGUGGGUUUUUCCUCUUUUUGAGUGAUUAUACUGACCUAAUUUGCAUUGAGGGGCAGAUUUAAAAUCCUGGUAUAAUUUGCAACCCAAGUAUGCCCUUAAAUUGUUCCAUUGCCAGGGGCGGUGUGGGGGCAACUGUUGUGUUGGUUUUCUUAGAUACAUAGGUGCCAGGUAUGUGUUUGGAUAUGUCACAUCUGAAGUUUAAAAUUCAGAAAGGAUAAAUACCCUAUAUCGUUCAGUGUAUUUGGAAAAUUUGGUUCUAAAUUCAAAUAUACACCCAAACAGAAGAGCAUAAUGAAUCCUUUUGUACCCAUUAUCCAGCUUCCAUAAUUAUCUGCUCACAGCCAACCUCGUUUUAGCUGUAUGUUCUCAUUCCCCACCCCAACUUAAUUUUGAAACAAAUCCCAGACAGUGGAUCUUGUUUCAUCCAUAAAUAUUUCAGUGUGUAUCUUCAAAAGAUAAGGACUUUUUUUUUUAAUGUAACCACAAUCCAUUAUCAUAUUUCCCCCCAGAUGGCAAAAAAACCCCAAAAAAAUCAUUAAUAUCAACUAUCUACUCAAAUACCCAAAUUUCCAUUUUCCCAUAAAUAUCAUAAUUAAAGAAAAUCCGAUUCAGGAACCAAGUAAGAUCCUCACAUUGUGAUUGGUUCAUGCAUCUUAGUCUUUUCAUUCUUUUAAUUGACCAGAACACCCCCCCCCUUUCUUACCCCCACCCCGCAUCUAUUUCUAUUUCGGAAGAUCACAUUUGGGCUUUUUUGGGGGGCGGGGGUGGGGGGGGCUCGAUCCUUCCCUAGGUGAUGGCAUGCAUUUCCAUCAGACCGUCCGGAGGCACACGUAAUGUGUAUGUGAUGGCAGACUUUUUUCUCCUAAUUUUUAAAAUUGUGAAGUACACAGAGAAGAUACUGUCUUCACUAUUUUUAACUGUAUUGCUCAGUGGCGUUAAGCACAUUCACGCUAUUGGGCAAACCAUUACCACCAUCUCCAGAAUGCUCUUCAUCUUGUGAGACUAAAACUCUGUCCCCACGGAACACUAACUCCCCAUCCCCCGUCUACGGGCAACCACGGUGCUUUCUGCGUCUAUGGAGGACUACUGUAGGUGUUUGUGUAAGUGGAAUCGUAACAGUGUUUGACUUUUUGUGACUGGCUUAUUUCGCUCAACACAACGUCCUCAAGGUUGAUCCUGGUUGUAGCACAUGACAUAACACUUUUCCUUUUUAAGGCUGAAUAGUAUUCCGUCAUAUGGAUAGACCACACUUUGCUUAUUCAUUCCUCCAUGGGCGGACACUCGGGUCGCUUUUGUGAGUAACGCUGCUGUGAACAUUGACGUGCAGAUAACUCUUUGAGACCCUGCUUUCAGUUCUUUUGAGUAUAUACCCAGAGGUUUGCUGGAUCAUAUGUUGGUUCUAUUUUUGAUAUUUUGAGAAAUGGUUAUACUGUUUUCCAUAGCGGCCGCACCAGUUUGCAAUCCCACCCAUGGUGCGCAAGGGCUCAUUGCCUUACUUCACCAGUACUUAUUUUCUGUGUGUGUGUGUGUGUGUGUGUGUGUGUGUGUGUGUGUGUGUUAAUGUUUAUUUAUUUUUGAGAGAGUGUGAGCAAGAGAGGGGCAGACAGACAGGGACAGAGGACCUGAAGUGGGGUCUGUGCUGACAGCAGAGAACCCGAUGCGGGGCUUGAACUCACAAACCGUGAGAUAAUGGCCUGAGUCAAAGUUGGAUGCUCAACCGACUAAGCCACCCAGGUACCCCUGGUUAUUUAUGUAUGUAUGUAUGUAUGUAUGUAUGUAUGUAUGUUUUGAUUGCCAUCCUUAAUGGGUGUGAGGGUAAGAUGUCCUUGUGGUUUUGAUUUGUGUUUCCGUAAUGAUGGCACUUAUUUUUAAUAACUUAUUUAAACUUAAUAUCUCAUCUGUGGGUGCUUCAAGAUGGGGAAUGUAUUUUGUGAGCCACCUUAAUUCUAAAAACAAUGAGAGGUACCUGGGUGGCUCAGUCGGUUAAGCGUCCAACUCUUGGUUU